AGGACGAACGCUGGCGGCGUGCUUAACACAUGCAAGUCGAACGGUGAACCACUUCGGUGGGGAUCAGUGGCGAACGGGUGAGUAACACGUGGGCAACCUGCCCCUAGCUCUGGGAUAACCUCGGGAAACCGAGGCUAAUACCGGAUAUGACUCCGAGCGGCAUCGCUUGGAGUGGAAAGUUUUUCGGCUAGGGGAUGGGCCCGCGGCCUAUCAGCUUGUUGGUGGGGUAAUGGCCUACCAAGGCGACGACGGGUA
This 255-nucleotide ribosomal RNA is filed under the name uncultured soil bacterium. RNAcentral's name for it is "partial 16S ribosomal RNA". It matches the Rfam family "Bacterial small subunit ribosomal RNA", at positions 26 to 285 of the family's 1533-position model. The record is from RNAcentral.